UGCAAAAGCUCCACAUGGUCUGGUGUAAGACUAGUAAGACUGGAGAAUGUUCUGGAAGACCCCUGGCAUACACUGGUGUCAUGAAUACACCCUCAUGUCUGCAGUAACUUUGUCUUCUCCUCCUCACCCUGUUCCUCUAAUCCUUUAAUCAUUCUUGUAGCAUUUGUCUGCGUUCAAAUACAUCAAACACCCUUCUUUCACCGUGGGCAGUUUUGGAAAGUGGUUCAAAAGGCUUGAUCCCUGCAGAAGAGGAGGAUGCAAAUCCUGCUCAUGUGAGUUUGGUAUUGCCUGUGUUUUGUGGAAGGGAAGGCCAGAGGUUAUCUGCUGUUUGUAGCCAUUACGGAAGAUGCCUCUUCAGUCUUUUGCUGGAGUUGGUCACUAGUUUGCUCUAUUUCUGCAAACGGAGAGGGAUGUUACCUGCUCUAGUAGAUACUGAGGCCUCAUCUGCACUAUAUUUCUGAAAUAGUUCAAAAUGAAGAAUGCUGGUACUCGGGUUUUUUGAAAAUGAAAAGAACUUUAGGUAGGAAUUCUGUUUUGAAAACAUAGGUUCUGAGUGGCAAAAUAACUGAAAUCAAGGACAGAAAUUUUGGAAUUUUUGUUCAAACCUUUCAAAACUACUUAAAUAUGCAUAGGCGAAUUCUCAACAGAACAUCUAGUACAGAAGAGAAAUCACUAUAUAUUAGAACAUGAUAAAUUUUCCAACAUCACUUAUUACUACCUUUUAUUAUGUACAGCUUCCUAACAGAUCUCCAGUCAACAACAGCCUGAACUACUUAUACUUCUGCAAUUGUUCCCAUGUGGAAUUCUACUGAUUGCAGAACAGUUAAUGACGAUCUACUAAUUACGUAAGUAACUGUCAGACUUUAUAUCAUUGGAUGUGAAAUCAGAUCCAUAAAAUCUAUUGUCUACAGACCUUUAAAGAUGAGGCAGAGCAUUACCCACUAUUGGUAACACCAGCCUGUAGAUACAGUGGGUGAGACCUAUCUAAGCUAGACGUGUCGCUUAGAAGUCUAACUUUGAGCUAGUCUAGCCUCUGCUCCCUCUGUAGUCCACAGAGAGGAACAGACAUCUCAAGGGACAAAUUAGCCUCCCUGUAGCACAAGCACCUGAACUGAGCCCAUUCCUGCGUAAUAGUUACUCACAUAAUUAACUGUCUAGUCAUUAACUGUCACACAUAGUGGGACUCCACAUGAGACUAAUUAUACAUGCAGAAAUAAUGUUUGGGAUCGGGGUCUUGCUAGAUUGUGUUCUGCAAACAGAUUCCUAAAUUAGGAUAAGAGGUAUUGGAUAGACCAGCCCUGGGAUGCAUGCAGUCCUCUCUGCAGAGCACAAGGAAAGCCUCAGCACAGAGCGGGCAUCUGCUAGAUGCAUUAGAUGUCUGAAGUUUGGCGAGAUGAAUUCCAUUUGCUAUUAGUGUCUUACGUUUCAAUCCCUAAUAAAUGCUAGACCACUGACAACCCAUUCACAGAGUCACUCCUUUCAAAUACUUUGGUCCUAGACUGAAGUAGUUCCCAAACAACAGCAACACUAUCUCAAACCUGUCUUCCUAAACUUAAUCUUCGGUUAUUUUCAUCUGGAAGAAUAAUGUCAAAGCAAAAUAAACAGUGAGGAAAAGCUCAAAUGAAAAUCUGUUAAAUACUUAAACUUCUUACAAUUACUAACUAAAGAUAACUGGAGGAUUAGGAAAUACAGGAAGCACUGAGGCCAUCAUGCUCAAUAUUUAGCCUGUAAAGUGUUUAAACGAUAAAGCAACGUAUAAACAGUCUUACAGCCACCCUCUGCUGGUGGAGACCCCCAAGUACAGUGGGCUGGCAGCUGGAGCAGCCUCUCCAAUUUCCAGGCUAGCAGAGAUCAACACCUCUGAUAAGCAUUUUGCAGCACCACAUGGUAUUCGGAUACACCGAGGACUUCAGUUGGAGGGGUGACCUGGGCGGCGGGGAGCUUGGGAGACUGCAAGCCCCUCCCUGCCCAUCAGCAUUACAGGGUGCCAGGGGUUCUGCAACAGGGGAACCCUGCCAUUCCCUCACCCCACUUUGCAGCUGCGUUCAGCCUAGGUUUAAACUCAGCCACAUCCCUAGGAGAGUCUGCAAUGGGGGAAGAAGAUACGAAGAGAAGGAUUUGUGCCUGUUAACACGAUCCAUAUUCUGCUUGCUGUUCUGUAGGCAAAACAGGUGGGCUAGGACACCACAAACCCUGCCUGAAGGUAGACUUUAAAAGCACAUGCAUACAUUCACUUUAUUUAAAAUAAAAUGCAAAUCUAAUGUUCCUGUUUUGAAAAUCAGGGCUCCUCUUAUGAUGUUUACUGUUUUCUAAAGAAGCAACACAAAGCCACUUUAUGCCUUGGACUUUGAAAAGUGAGCAUAUUCAGUGAUGCCACAAAACUGGAUAGGUGGAUGGACACGAGUAGUUAAAACUGAAUAUUACAAGAAAGUUCAAGAAGUUCUAUUUUAUCUACAGAUGGCUUCCAAGAUAAUCCUUAUUAAAGUGGAGUGGCAGCCAGCUACAUUUAUUAGUGCAUUAAAAUGGGGGGGGAACCCUACAGAAGUACUGUUAAAUGUUUGAAUCUCCUCUUUAAAAUGUUGUCAACUAGUUUUCAAAACAUUUUAGACAAAUACUGUAGUCAUAACAUUGUAAGAAAGGCUGGGUUUGCUCACCCUGCUGUAAAGUUUUUGCACUACUGUGAGUGGUGACUGGUUGGUUCCCAGCAAUACCAGGGUUCUGCAUCUUCACUGGGUAUCUGCAAAACGGCACUUCUGAGGUAUUUGAGGCAAUUGGCUUAUCCUCAGGUGUCAUCGGUUUAGGAAAUGGAAGGUGCUACUUUGAAUUUUUAAAAUGCAAAGGUUAAAAAAUAUGAAACUCGGCACAUAAAGAGCAUUUUUCAUCUACCUUUUAAGUGUUAUUUGCCCCCUCAGAGAUUCAGUGGGAACCAGACAGAAGAUUGUCCCCCAGAGAUAAGAGAUGCCAAAGCAGAGUAACAGCAGCCAGAUAUUCACCCAGAUGUGCUCCAGUGCAAAACAUGGUACUGAGGUGUAAACAAUUUGCCUGCUGAAUGUACCAGGAGAUGAUCCAGGUCCUCUGAAGUUUUUACUCAAUAAGUCUUGUGCUUUAAGACCCUAUUUUAAUAUUUGUUAUUCAGAUAUUCCUGACUUAUCUAAUGUGGAUACAUGAAGCUGUAACAGAAAACAUGAAAGAAAUGCCUAUGAAGAAAUUUCAUUUAUAUGCCUCUGCAUAAAAAUAGUCAUAUUUGUGCAAAGUGGAGAAAUGUAAGUUGCACAGAAUAUGUAGGGAUUUGCUGGGGUUUAUGUAGCUGAAACAUCUAGUUAAAAAAAAAAAAAAAAAA
Long non-coding RNA from Egretta garzetta (little egret), 3340 nucleotides. RefSeq lists it as uncharacterized. The transcript has 3 exons. Lineage: Eukaryota; Metazoa; Chordata; Aves; Pelecaniformes; Ardeidae. The record is from RefSeq and is a predicted model, not a curated record.